AAAAUAUUGAACUUGUGAAUUACAGGUGGUACAAACAUGUCACAACUUCACACUUGUAAUUCAAAAGUUCAAUUUCCAGUGUGUUUAUCAUGUGCAAUACUGCACAUGACUCACACAUGGCUAGUUUCAUUUUUCUCUUUCAGUUUUUGUUUUUGUAUUGUAAGCUCUCUUUGGUUGAAAAUGUCAAAAUCCGUCACAAUGACCAACAAAGUUGCUAUUUUGAAAGAAAUUAAAGAAAAUAAGGACUAUUUGGAGCAUUCUCAAAAACAUUGAGUAAAACCCAAAAAUGUGACGCUUGGAAGACUAUACACAACAAAAUAGCUAGUUUAAGAUUGAUACCACCGAAGAAAGAAUGGACAUAUAUA
RNAcentral lists this long non-coding RNA (365 nucleotides) under Androctonus crassicauda. Lineage: Eukaryota; Metazoa; Arthropoda; Arachnida; Scorpiones; Buthidae. The record is from RNAcentral.